This 430-nucleotide ribosomal RNA is filed under the name uncultured bacterium. RNAcentral's name for it is "bacterial SSU rRNA". It matches the Rfam family "Bacterial small subunit ribosomal RNA", at positions 355 to 776 of the family's 1533-position model. The record is from RNAcentral.
UAGGGAAUCUUCCGCAAUGGACGAAAGUCUGACGGAGCAACGCCGCGUGAACGAUGAAGGCCUUCGGGUCGUAAAGUUCUGUUGUUAGGGAAGAACAAGUACCGUUCGAAUAGGUCGGUACCUUGACGGUACCUAACGAGAAAGCCACGGCUAACUACGUGCCAGCAGCCGCGGUAAUACGUAGGUGGCAAGCGUUGUCCGGAAUUAUUGGGCGUAAAGCGCGCGCAGGCGGUCUCUUAAGUCUGAUGUGAAAGCCCACGGCUCAACCGUGGAGGGUCAUUGGAAACUGGGAGACUUGAGUGCAGAAGAGGAGAGUGGAAUUCCAUGUGUAGCGGUGAAAUGCGUAGAUAUAUGGAGGAACACCAGUGGCGAAGGCGACUCUCUGGUCUGUAACUGACGCUGAGGCGCGAAAGCGUGGGGAGCAAACAGG